Molecule: long non-coding RNA, 836 nt
Organism: Grus americana (Whooping crane)
Lineage: Eukaryota; Metazoa; Chordata; Aves; Gruiformes; Gruidae
Exons: 3
Source: RefSeq, a predicted model, not a curated record
AUGUCUAGUUUUGGGCACGGCACUUUAGGAAAGAUGUGAGCCAAAUGGAGAGAGUCCAGAGAGGUAAUAAAAGUGAAGAGAAGUGUGAAUAACAUAACCUGGGGUAACAGCUAAAGGAAAUCUUCUAGAAAAGAGAAAACAGAAAAGAGUCCGUGAACUGCCUUCAAAAAUGCAAAAGAGAAAGAGAAAAGCAGUAAUGGAUUUAAACUGCAUCAAAGGACAUUUCCAGUGCCUGAAGCUUGCAGAGGGUUCUGAAGCAUGUAUGCGCACUGGAAGACUGCUUAGGAUGACUCUUCAGAUUGGCACCUCUCUGAGGACCCUGAAGUUAGCAGAGCUUGCUUAACACCUUUCUGAUAUUGCACUUUGCCUUCAAUCUCUGUGAAUAAACGUGCAUAAUUUAUGUACUUUCUUGUACUGUAAAACAAAACCUAACUAAUUUCAAGGGAGAAUAUUUGCUGACACUGAGCUGGGAAAAAGAUGGGAAUGCUAUCUGCAAGCCUCCUGUGUAGUAUUACAUUGCUCUUUCCAGGAUUGCAGCACUGUACAAGCUAUAUUUAUUAGGAAUGGCCCAAAGUUAAAAGGUUUGAGUAUCAGAAGAGAAGUAUUUCCGUUGUUCAAGCUAUCAUUAAAUCAAGACCAAACCCUCUCAGACAGUUUCAACUCCUUGGAAGUCCAAGGUUUUGGUUCCCAUGCAUAUGAACCAACCCCAAUUGCAAUGAGUCACCUUAUCUCAAAAGAACAAAAAUGCUACAAGUUGUAACAGUCAGAAAUUGUGAGGCAAUUGUUCUUGCAGCUUGCUCUAACUCAUGUAGCACUCAAGACUGAAGGAUGGUGUC